UCGAAGAUGUGCAUGUCAAGAACAGAGUAAAGGGGAGUUUAUUUCAGUAGUGUCUAGUACAGCGAGUGUGAAAUAAGCUCCGCCUUCGUCAGUCUUCAUCUCUCUUUGGUGGUGUUAUCAAGGUAAAGCAAUUCGGCCCAGAUCUUAAAGGCAGAUUGGAUAGACUCAUCGAUGGAGAAUAACUCUUGGCUGGACGGGCUGUCCCUACCAUAAAUAGCCUCAUCGAUGGAGAAUUUUAGAUGGAAGCUGACGGAGCCUGAGACGAAGAGGAUGGAUAAGAAGACGACGGAGCCUGAGAAGAAGACGAUGGAACGUAUGACUGACGUCGCCGCCAAGGGCUUCAUGGUCGCCAUGGAGGAAGUGACGGACUUGCGCGCGGCUGCCGGCGGCCAUUCCCGUUCCCAGGGUUUGCACGGCAUCAUGGUGAAGCUCCACAGCCGGAUCCACACCGAUCUGUGCCACGAGGGCUACGUCGUGCUGGACGCCGGCUUCCUCGCCGAACGCGCUGCGCUUGAAGAAGAGUGGAGCAAGGCCGCCGGCGCCUACGAUCAGCUGCCCGUUUUGUAGUUUCGUCAUCUUCCUCCAAGAACUCCACAGACGUGAUUUCAUAAGUUUGUUAGCAAAUUGUGAGCGCAGCAAAUUUAGCUAGAGUAUCGUUCUAGGAAAGUUAGCUAAAAGUUCGUACGUACAUGGGUAUGUGUUGUAUUUAUCUGAGCCACUACGUAUUUUGUUUCCCAUCAUUCAUGGGCUACAUCAAAGCUGCCUCUUCUUUCU
This is a long non-coding RNA of Triticum dicoccoides, 774 nucleotides long. RefSeq lists it as uncharacterized. The transcript is spliced from 2 exons. The record is from RefSeq and is a predicted model, not a curated record. NCBI's taxonomy places the organism in Eukaryota, Viridiplantae, Streptophyta, Magnoliopsida, Poales, Poaceae.